UGGGGAAUAUUGCACAAUGGGCGCAAGCCUGAUGCAGCCAUGCCGCGUGUGUGAAGAAGGCCUUCGGGUUGUAAAGCACUUUCAGCGAGGAGGAAGGUGGUGAGCUUAAUACGCUCAUCAAUUGACGUUACUCGCAGAAGAAGCACCGGCUAACUCCGUGCCAGCAGCCGCGGUAAUACGGAGGGUGCAAGCGUUAAUCGGAAUUACUGGGCGUAAAGCGCACGCAGGCGGUUUGUUAAGUCAGAUGUGAAAUCCCCGGGCUCAACCUGGGAACUGCAUUUGAAACUGGCAAGCUAGAGUCUCGUAGAGGGGGGUAGAAUUCCAGGUGUAGCGGUGAAAUGCGUAGAGAUCUGGAGGAAUACCGGUGGCGAAGGCGGCCCCCUGGACGAAGACUGACGCUCAGGUGCGAAAGCGUGGGGCAGCAAACAGGAUUAGAUACCCUGGUAGUCCACGCUGUAAACGAUGUCGAUUUUGGAGGUUGUGCCCUUGAGGCGUGGCUUCCGGAGCUAACGCGUUAAAUCGACCGCCUGGGGAGUACGGCCGCAAGGUUAAAACUUAAAUGAAUUGACGGGGUCU
Molecule: ribosomal RNA, 576 nt
Filed under: uncultured bacterium
Lineage: Bacteria
Description: partial 16S ribosomal RNA
Rfam family: Bacterial small subunit ribosomal RNA
Source: RNAcentral